UUGAGCGCCUUUGCUCUUAGGUGGAGCUUGCUUGGCUUUGCUGUUUAGUGGAGCUUCUUCAGCUUCUUUCUUGCUAGGAUAGUUUUCUUCACCAGUCAAACUGAUUGCGUCCCUGAGCUGUGAAACAUCAAUCUCCAUCUUCCCCAUCCUCUCUGUAAACACUCUCUCCAUAUUCGCCAUUUGCAUACUGAGCACAUCUCCCAAUGAAGUGACAGAUGUGCGGAUAAGACCCUCAAUGAAACUCUUAGUUUCAGGACCAAAAGUCAGAUACUUUUCUGCUGAUCGCUUACACAGCACCUUCUUCUUUCUUGUUUCUGCUCCUUCAUCAAGAAACUUUCUCUUGCCUUUUCCUGCAACCUUAACCGAAGAGGUCUCCUGGUCUGGUACAACAUCCGUAUGAUCCACGCUCUU
RNAcentral lists this long non-coding RNA (411 nucleotides) under Brassica napus (rape). RNAcentral's name for it is "long non-coding RNA (BNAP_LNC026796)". The record is from RNAcentral. Lineage: Eukaryota; Viridiplantae; Streptophyta; Magnoliopsida; Brassicales; Brassicaceae.